Molecule: ribosomal RNA, 324 nt
Filed under: uncultured eukaryote
Lineage: Eukaryota
Description: partial 18S ribosomal RNA
Rfam family: Eukaryotic small subunit ribosomal RNA
Source: RNAcentral
CCCUUAGAUGUUCUGGGCCGCACGCGCGCUACACUGAUGCAUUCAACGAGUCUAAAACCUGGUCUGAUAGGGCUGGGUAAUCUUUUGAAUGUGCAUCGUGAUUGGGAUAGAUGAUUGCAAUUCUUCAUCUUCAACGAGGAAUGCCUAGUAAACGCAAGUCAUCAGCUUGCAUUGAUUACGUCCCUGCCCUUUGUACACACCGCCCGUCGCUCCUACCGAUUGGGUGAUCCGGUGAAUGAUUCGGACUGACGUUGUACUAGCUACUAGUUCAAUGUUAGGAAGUUUUGUGAACCUAAUCACUUGGAGGAAGGAGAAGUCGUAACA